RNAcentral lists this long non-coding RNA (3316 nucleotides) under Homo sapiens (human). Its description in RNAcentral is "HSALNT0323526". The record is from RNAcentral. Lineage: Eukaryota; Metazoa; Chordata; Mammalia; Primates; Hominidae.
GCGUUCCAAGAUGGACUGCCGGAGAAAGGCUUUUUGACCCCUGUGGAAAUUAGUCAUAUUGACAGACGCCCAGGGAAGAUGGUGUCCCAGGACUGCAAGUAACUGCGUACAUCCACACAGCGCAUUACACCAACCUGAGAAGAAUCCUUGCGUGACCGGAUUGUUUCUGGUAUAAAAUAGGGCCUAACGGUCCCAUCUCUUUUCUUUUAAAAAACUGAGUCUGUGGAGGGGGCUUAUUGGAAAGCAUCAAAAGAGUGGCAUCUGAUUUUCUGAUUUUACCGGAGAUUGGACUGGAGGUCUUCUUUACUAAGAGUAACAGGCGUAGCCACAAAAGAGCCUGGUCUGGUCGCAAAGUAAAGGCAAAACUAGUGUGGGCCCUUAGCCUCGCCGGCCCCGGCCCUCGGAAUGCAAAAGGCGAAAGCUCCCUCCUGGGCAGGGCCAGAGCGAGAGCGAGUGAGGAGCUCCUCCCGGACCUCGGGCCUAGCUUCGGAGGUAUUUUUAGCUCCUCUCUCUGCUCCCCAGAGGCUCUUUUGUAAGCUUAACAGAGGCUCAGCAAGCUGCCCUCACCCCGAAGGGCUGUGGGAGGAGGCUGCCCUAGUAUCUUGAAGAAAAAAGAAAUUGCCUAUCCUUAAGUUUAAAACAAUAUUCGCUCUCUCUAGGCUCCCCUUCUGUUCUCUCGUUUUUUUCGCCCGCAGGAACACUCCAAGUUCCACAGUUAAAGAGGACCGGGAGGGCAGGAAUGGGUGGGGCCUGGAAAUCAGCUCCGAAACUGGGUGCGGCACACCUUCCUCUGCCUUUCUGCCUCUCUCCCGGCCACUGCUGCUCCACGGGAGCCAGUCUUGGAUACCUAGGGUGGGGGACAGGGGGACGGGAAGAGCCUCGGUUGUCUCCAGAACCUGCCGAGCCCCUGCUGCAUCUGGGACCCGCCUUCACCGUUUCCCAAUCCCAGCGGUUAGCCCCUGCGCCCCCUUUUUGGUCUCCACUUUGCCGUUCGAAAAUGCCUAGGUUGGUGGAUCGACCCUCCGCGGAGCAAAGACGGAUGGCUGGCAGGAGCAGGUUCAGGAGCUGGGCCAAGGAGUGUUUGGCCCGGCGGUCCACCCCGGCUUCCCGAGAUACGCUAGAGUUGCCCCCACGUCCUGUCCGCCGCGCCCCUACCCACCGGGUUGCCUUCGGGGCCCUUCGGUGCUGUGUAGUCGGCGUGGCGCUGUGAGCUAGGCGAACAGGAACCCCCAGGCCCGCCACGUCUACGCUAUUAGCAGCCAGGUAGCCCUGCGGGUCGAAGAUGCUCAGAGGAGGAGUAAAUGCAGAGAAAAAAUAGAGGAAGGAAUAAAAAAAAAAACAAAACAAAAACACGUAACAUACACGCACUCAAAACCAACUUUGGGAUUGGACUUUUUCAGUUUCACACGAAGAGACUUGGAGUAUCUGGAGAAGGUUUUUGAAGACGUUUAGGAGGGAGGGUGAGUUUUCUGCUGAGAAACUCAAUCUGCCAUACAGUAGCGGCCCCAUCUGGGAUCUGUCACUGCUGACAGCACCAGAGGGCACAGCCGUGAUCUUCUGCACAGCCUGCACUCCCCGAAAUACCCUCCUUAAUCAAAGGAUGUCUGCGCGCCUGAGCUCAGCUGACCGCGCCGGGAGCACCAGGGCCGUUGGAUUCCACCCCAGCCCGCCCCCUCCCCACGCACACAGCCACGGCCCCUCGCGUCUUCGCGGCACGUUAAUUAAAUGCGGAAAACAGACAGAGGCUGAUGUCAUUGCUCUCACAAGAUCAUAAACGUAAAAGAGUCAUCCUGUGAGAAUCCCUGAAAAUGACUUUAAUGAAUAAUUUCAGAGACAGUUAUGACUUUGGGUGAUUACUGAGCAAGAAUAUGAAAACCAGAUUUGCAAAGCGAAGGCGAUGGUCAAAAGGCCUGGCAGUUACUUUCUCUCAUUAAAACCGCACCGGCUUUCCUUCUUCGCCAAGUACUAGUUACCAACUGAGGUUGCGUUUUCAGGUUUUCUUCUUCAAAAUAACAGUCUUCUUUUCCUGCUUUUCUGCCUUAUCCUAAAGACAAAAUGUCAGCUCCAGGGAACGACAUUAACAACCCACUUUAAAUUGAAGGCAACUCUGCACUGGCGUCAGUGGCCAUUGGCUUCCAUCUUUUUACAAAGGUUGGAUUUACUGCCAUCUUAGGAUCAUAUCUCUUUUGGCCUCUUCUCUAGGCAAUGUAUUUAAUGAAGGUUGAACAUUCUCACUGACCCUGAGUCAGUGCACUGUUUGUUGUAAAGGAUCUCAGCUGGUGGGGCAAAAAACAAGUUCCAAACAACCUGCCUUUACAGAAGAGUCUCCCUGACUCUUUAGUUCUAGGUCACCAAUGAACUGAAAAAUGAUUUGGUGCUACAUUAAGGAAUAUUUUCAAACACUCCAUCUGGCCAUGGAGAAGCAUCCAGUUGGUUAUAUCUGGUUGCUCAUGCAUUAAAAAUACUAUUUGAGAAAACAACUAGGGUGUUAGUUGUGGAAGUGGCCUGGUGAGUACCCUCUGAUCUUUUGCACGAAGUUUAGCUGCCUGCAAGUCUGUCUUCUUUGCUUGAAAAUAUAAACUGGGACUCUCUGGGCCUGUGUCCCAUGUGGAUUUAUUCCACUUAAUUCAAGUAAAAGUUUGUUUAUACUCUGAGCAAGAAAGUAUUAUAGGCACAAGUGAUGUGGAGUUUUCAGUUUGCUUGUUUUUUGCUGUUGUUUGUUUGCUUUUGAGCGAUCUGAGUGAUUUAGAAAACUAAUGUGUCUCAGUCGGCUCCACCAUUCAGACAGAUCAUAGAGAACCCACUUACCAGCACUCUAGAAAACUGUACUUUGUGCAGACAUUGCCUGAUCCUCCCCUUUCUAGAAGCACAGAUAGGCCAGAAUCCUUCAGUCACUGAGGACACAAUUGUCUAAAAGCCUCAUUCCCUAUCAUUAGCCCCCAAACCGCAGAGCUGUUUCCUUCCCUCUUGGCUCCAGAUAGGGGUGGGUGGGAGAGGGGACUAGGCUCUCCAUGUGACAUUUCCCUGACUUGAGAGGAAAUGUUUCUUUCUGAUUCUAGAUUACAUGAAGACACUUUGGAGUUGGUGUAUAGGGUUUCCUCAAAGAACUGAGGUAACGUGGACUUUAGGGAAUUUUCCUCAAUUGGAUUCCCUGUUUAUUUGUGAUACUAUUUGUGUCCCCCAAAUAGAUCUUCUUGUUGCUCCACUCACAUCAUGAGCAGUUUUCCUUUUCCUCUAGUUACAUUCACUCUAGCUUCUGACUGAAGACUCUGCUUGCCCUUUGUAGCCCGUGCAGGAAUAAACAGCAUCUUCUGGA